GGGUCUGUAGCUCAGUUGGUUAGAGCACACGCUUGAUGGCGGCGUGGGGUCACAAGUUCAGAAUCUUGUCAGACCCA
This 77-nucleotide transfer RNA is filed under the name Acinetobacter baumannii. RNAcentral describes it as "tRNA-Ile". The record is from RNAcentral. Lineage: Bacteria; Pseudomonadati; Pseudomonadota; Gammaproteobacteria; Moraxellales; Moraxellaceae.